RNAcentral lists this ribosomal RNA (239 nucleotides) under uncultured bacterium. Its description in RNAcentral is "partial small subunit ribosomal RNA". It matches the Rfam family "Bacterial small subunit ribosomal RNA", at positions 26 to 288 of the family's 1533-position model. The record is from RNAcentral.
AGAGCGAACGCUGGCGGCAUGCUUAACACAUGCAAGUCGCACGAACGGGGGUAACUCGUUAGUGGCGGACGGGUGAGUAACGCGUAGGUAUCUGUCCAUGGGUGGGGGAUAACCUUGGGAAACUAAGGCUAAUACCGCAUGACACCUGAGGGUCAAAGGCGCGAGUCGCCUGUGGAGGAGCCUGCGUCCGAUUAGCUUGUUGGUGGGGUAAAGGCCUACCAAGGCGACGAUCGGUAGCU